Molecule: ribosomal RNA, 401 nt
Filed under: uncultured Ochrobactrum sp.
Lineage: Bacteria; Pseudomonadati; Pseudomonadota; Alphaproteobacteria; Hyphomicrobiales; Brucellaceae
Description: bacterial SSU rRNA
Rfam family: Bacterial small subunit ribosomal RNA
Source: RNAcentral
GGGGAAUAUUGGACAAUGGGCGCAAGCCUGAUCCAGCCAUGCCGCGUGAGUGAUGAAGGCCCUAGGGUUGUAAAGCUCUUUCACCGGUGAAGAUAAUGACGGUAACCGGAGAAGAAGCCCCGGCUAACUUCGUGCCAGCAGCCGCGGUAAUACGAAGGGGGCUAGCGUUGUUCGGAUUUACUGGGCGUAAAGCGCACGUAGGCGGACUUUUAAGUCAGGGGUGAAAUCCCGGGGCUCAACCCCGGAACUGCCUUUGAUACUGGAAGUCUUGAGUAUGGUAGAGGUGAGUGGAAUUCCGAGUGUAGAGGUGAAAUUCGUAGAUAUUCGGAGGAACACCAGUGGCGAAGGCGACUCACUGGACCAUUACUGACGCUGAGGUGCGAAAGCGUGGGGAGCAAACA